Molecule: unclassified non-coding RNA, 253 nt
Filed under: uncultured Rickettsiales bacterium
Lineage: Bacteria; Pseudomonadati; Pseudomonadota; Alphaproteobacteria; Rickettsiales
Description: contains 16S-23S intergenic spacer region
Rfam family: Bacterial small subunit ribosomal RNA
Source: RNAcentral
UACGAAGGGUGCUAGCGUUGUUCGGAAUUACUGGGCGUAAAGCGCGCGUAGGUGGCCAAGCAAGUCAGGGGUGAAAGCCCGGAGCUCAACUCCGGAAUUGCCUUUGAAACUGCAUGGCUAGAGUAUUGGAGGGGAUAGCGGAAUUCCUAAUGUAGAGGUGAAAUUCGUAGAUAUUAGGAGGAACACCGGUGGCGAAGGCGGCUAUCUGGACAAUAACUGACACUAAAGUGCGAAAGCGUGGGGAGCAAACAGG